This 1093-nucleotide long non-coding RNA is filed under the name Monodelphis domestica (gray short-tailed opossum). RNAcentral's name for it is "lncRNA (ENSMODG00000048784.1)". The record is from RNAcentral. Lineage: Eukaryota; Metazoa; Chordata; Mammalia; Didelphimorphia; Didelphidae.
GAGCACCACUUAUCCCAGUACGUUCCAUUUCAUCCACUUUGAUCCAUGUCAUGAUAUGUACAGUUAAUAUGACCUUACAAAUAACUCUCAGAUGGUCGGUGCCCCUACAUCAGGAAGUCAUUAGAAGCUGACCUCUCAUCCAGCCACAGAAGGAGAUGAGUCAUACAGUGUUCUUACUGUUAACUUGGAAAAGAAUCAAGGAGGAGACAGAGACAUAUUUGCUAAUGAUGCAAAAUGGAGGUAGAUGCACACAGAGAAACUGAGGGGAAAGGAGAGGGAAGGAAUAAUCAAGGAUAUAUGAUGACAUUUUAAAUCCAGAAAGUCACAGUUUUGGAAUCCACUAAGGGCCUUAGAGAUCAUCUUGAGCAGCUCCCUCAGUGAGGAAAUCAAAUUGCAAAAUUCUCUGAUUUUAUAACUCUAAUAACUUUCACUACAUUGAAAUUUGGGAAAAAAUCACUAUAUUGAAAAUGAGAUCUACUCAACAAAGAUCAUUAAGGAGGAAAACAAGUUCUGGCAGGGGCUGUUUAGCUGUGAAGACUUUGAUAAUGCUCUGAUGAAAGAUGGAUGAUGUGUCUGUAGGCCAAGAGCCAUACUUGAAAAAUAACUCAGUUCAAAGAAACUUGUCAUGGAAAGAUGAUGAAACUGUGACACAGAGGACUGAAGUACCUAAAUCAAAGCCUGAGAAGACUGCCUGAAGUUUGAACAAAAGGCAGUGAAGAAGGAAGAGGCAGUGAGGUAUGAACAGAAGAGAAAGAUCAAGAAAAAUGUGAACUCUGUUAUUGCAAAGAGAACCUCAAAGGAAGCAUGUUCUGCUCUUUUAUGUGUUGGUAUUCAUCAAUUUCAUGUUGCUUUAAUCUAAUAAUUUCCGGAUCAUUUCCUUAGAUAUUUUUUCUCUGCACAGAAGUGAAUAGAGGGAAUGGUUUGAUGCCUUCCCUCUUGGCAGAGAAAUAAGCACAUGCCCAAUUACCUGCCUAUAAAAUUAUGAUAUUAAAUACUGUAGCUAUGUGACUAUCAAAGAAAAAAAUUAGGUGCAUAGCAAAUUUUCAAGCCACAAAAUGACAGCAGAAUGUUAAUAAAACUUUACCCUGUACCA